Molecule: RNase P RNA, 380 nt
Filed under: Halothece sp. PCC 7418
Lineage: Bacteria; Bacillati; Cyanobacteriota; Cyanophyceae; Chroococcales; Halothecacae
Description: Bacterial RNase P class A
Rfam family: Bacterial RNase P class A
About the family: Ribonuclease P (RNase P) is a ubiquitous endoribonuclease, found in archaea, bacteria and eukarya as well as chloroplasts and mitochondria.
Source: Rfam by way of RNAcentral
AGAGUUGGCGAGGUAGUUGCAGUUCUUGGUGUCUUGUCACCUUGAAUUGAGGAAAGUCCGGGCUUCCAAAGACCAAACUGCUGGGUAACGCCCAGUGCGGGUGACCGUGAGGAAAGUGCCACAGAAAAAUACCGCCGUAGAAGAUCAAUCUUCUGCGGUAAGGGUGCAAAGGUGCGGUAAGAGCGCACCAGCAGCAUCGAGAGGUGCUGGCUCGGUAAACCCCAGUUGGAAGCAAGGUCGAGGGAAGCUAUGGUUGGUCUUUUACCAGCUUCCGAUGUAAGGGAGUACCGCUUGAGGCUUUUGGUAACAAAAGUCCCAGAUAGAUAACUACCCUCAAGUGUAUCUUGAGAACAGAACCCGGCUUAUGUCCAACUCUCUUU